AUUGAACGCUGGCGGCAGGCCUAACACAUGCAAGUCGAGCGGGGUUUUCGGACCUAGCGGCGGACGGGUGAGUAAUGCGUAGGAAGCUACCCGAUAGAGGGGGAUAUCAGUUGGAAACGACUGUUAAUACCGCAUAAUGUCUACGGACCAAAGUGCGGGACCUUCGGGCCACAUGCUAUCGGAUGCGCCUACGUCCGAUUAGCUGGUUGGUGGGGUAAGGGCCACCAAGGCGACGAUCGGUAGCUGGUCUGAGAGGAUGAUCAGCCACACUGGGACUGAGACACGGCCCAGACUCCUACGGGAGGCAGCAGUGGGGGAAUAUUGGACAAUGGCGCAAGACCUGAUCCAGCAAU
Molecule: ribosomal RNA, 353 nt
Filed under: uncultured bacterium
Lineage: Bacteria
Description: bacterial SSU rRNA
Rfam family: Bacterial small subunit ribosomal RNA
Source: RNAcentral